AUAUUUGCCGCAGCUAAUGGUUUCUUUAAUACUUCGUUGUUAGAGAAUUAAAAGGGAAUGCGGUGAGACUCCGUUACUGUCCCGCAGCUGUAUGCUCCGGAAACGGCAUUUAAAUCAUAGUCACUGUUCUAUCCUGCCAAAGGAACCUGAAUGGGAAGACUGAAUGUCCGGGAGUGAGUCAGAAGACCUGCCUUUAGUAUUCAUUUUUU
Molecule: non-coding RNA, 209 nt
Filed under: Pedobacter sp. BAL39
Lineage: Bacteria; Pseudomonadati; Bacteroidota; Sphingobacteriia; Sphingobacteriales; Sphingobacteriaceae
Also listed under: 1 other name
Source: RNAcentral